GCCUAAUACAUGCAAGUCGAGCGCAGGAAACCAGAUGACCCCUUCGGGGUGAUUCUGGUGGAAUGAGCGGCGGACGGGUGAGUAACACGUGGGCAACCUGCCUGUAAGACUGGGAUAACUUCGGGCAACCGGAGCUAAUACCGGAUAGUAUUUCCUUUCUCCUGAUUGGAAAUGGAAAGACGGUUUCGGCUGUCACUUACAGAUGGGCCCGCGGUGCAUUAGCUAGUUGGUGGGGUAAUGGCCCACCAAGGCGACGAUGCAUAGCCGACCUGAGAGGGUGAUCGGCCACACUGGGACUGAGACACGGCCCAGACUCCUACGGGAGGCAGCAGUAGGGAAUCUUCCGCAAUGGACGAAAGUCUGACGGAGCAACGCCGCGUGAGCGAUGAAGGCCUUCGGGUCGUAGAGCUCUGUUGUUA
This 419-nucleotide ribosomal RNA is filed under the name Terribacillus saccharophilus. RNAcentral's name for it is "bacterial SSU rRNA". It matches the Rfam family "Bacterial small subunit ribosomal RNA", at positions 46 to 441 of the family's 1533-position model. Lineage: Bacteria; Bacillati; Bacillota; Bacilli; Caryophanales; Bacillaceae. The record is from RNAcentral.